GUUCAACAUCCCAGAGCAAAGGUCCAGAUGCACUCUCAUAAUGGGGAUACAAGAACAAGUGAGACAAAUCCUGCCCUCCAGGGGCAGCCAUUUGUGGGGUGUGGGGAUACAAAUCAAUCAACUUACAACCAUCUAUUAGGUGUCUAUCAUGUGCAGACACUGUUCUGGGCACAAAGAUAAAAAUGACAUAGGCCCUGCCCUCAAAGAGCUUAUGCUGGAGUUGGGCCAGGGGGGCUACCACACAUGCAGAUUAAGGAAAAACAAUUUGGUUCUGUUCUAUUUUUCUGGACUGAGCCUCGGUUAUACAUGUUGUAUUCUCUCAGCAAAAGGUCAUCUUCGUAAGGGUACGGGCUGUUUCUUCCUUGUCUUUGGAUCUCUGGUACCUAGCACAACGCUUUAAUUCAACAAGCAUUUAUUAAGCAUCUGCUAGGUGGCAGGUAGUGCACAUGGUUGAGAAGGAGGGCAUGGGACCCGUCAUUCUGCCCCACAUCUUCCCAUGAACCCAUGCUCAUUGAUCCUCAGCUCUCUGAGCACUCCCUCCCGACCUCCCACACUACCAGCUGCAUUAGCAGACCCAAGAAUACAACAGGCUUUCGACAAAAUCUACCCCCACACUCAGGUCCUUCCUCUCUCUUUCGAGCACCAUGGAGACCCUGGCUCCAGGCUACAGAAAUUUGCUUUGGCUGCGGUAGACAGCUAUGUGACUGUAGUCUCUCAGGAGCCCAGGGAGGUUGAGGAACUUAGAGUCAUAGCAUCGAGAAUUAAAGAAAACCUCAGAGGUCAUCUGGUACAAUCUCCUCAUUUUACAGAUGAGGAAACAGAGUCCCGAGGAGGUUAGGUGAUGAUUAAUAUGUAUAUAGCCCUAUUAUGUGCCAGGCACUGGAGAGCUCUGAACUACAGCAAUCCUGUACAGCAGAAGAGCAGGAUUGGUGCAGACAAUCCUGUAGCAACGGUGCUGGGAAGCACUGAAUUGCCAUUUCUGGGUCAAAGAACUAAUAAACAGAGAGAAAGGUAUAGGGUACUCGGACAGUGUCCUGUGGGGCAGUGGAGGGGAAGAGUGUUCAGCCCUCCUCUGAACCUGAGGAAGAGAACAAAGCAUCCAGUGGGAGGCCAGUUCUGACCACCUAAGUCACCUGAGGCAGACAUAUAGUCUGGUGACCUGUGAAUUUCUCAGUAUUGGAAGGCUGAGAUGCUUUGAGAUCCAGCUCCUAAGGAAAUCACAAUCAGACAAGAGGGGGUCAAAAAGUGCAUGAUAGUGAAAAUAAGGGGGAAGGGGAGGACUGAAAUUACUAAAGAUUUCAGGAAGAAAAAAACUCAAAAAUGUUGAAUAUAAACUGAUAAGUCAACAGGAAAAACAAUAACAGCUGAAGGAAAUAUGGCCUCCAGAUCUAGUAAAUGAGUACAAACAUCUGUGAAUAACUAUUGUGAAACGAAGGAAAAUGAUCCAACACUUGGUGAGACAGAAGAUUCUGUGGAAUUUGAGGACAACAUGGAACUUACUGUUCCUCAGUGGUACAAAAGAGAAAUGAGAAUUACAAGAGCAGAAUUUAUGGCCUGCACAGCAAGAAUGAUGGACAGAACAGAAAAAUUCGAAUUUGUGAAAGCAAUCUCACCAAAGAAACAAAAGAGAGAACAACAGACUGGGAGUGCAAAUACCCCAAAAUGAAGUUUAGAAGAGAAGCAAAAUGAUAACAGUAAAAGUAAAUAUGCUUAAUCUGUAAGCAAAACAUACUGAUCUUGAAGAAAGGUUGUUUGGAGAUAACUUAAGGACAAUAGAUCUCCCAGAAGCUUGUGACAAGACAAAAACUUUAACAAAGUAAUGAAGGAAAUCAGAAGAAUUCAAUUCAGAAACAAUAAAGUCUGCAAGUGUUCAGGAGAAAGACUUUCAAAUACAAAGGAAAGGGCAUUUGAAUAAUGUAAGACUAUUUUGCACUCACUAGACAAGGGAGGUGGGAAUGGAAUAAUGUGUUUGCUCCAAAGAGCAAAGGAUCUAAGGACACAACCCAGGGCGACCUCUCUUUCAAAUCUGAGCUUAACUAUACAGGCAAGAAGAUGGAUGUUCAAUAACAACAAAGAAAUUGAAACUUUUUUUAGCAAGAAAAACAGAACUGAAGAGGCUAUUUGAUUCUCAACACUUUAAACAGCAGAAAUGCAGGCAUUGUAAAUAAAUUCAAUGAGCAAGGACAACCAUAGCAACAGAGUGAGAGCAGAGACCAUUAAGAGACUGCUUUUUAAAUAUACACAAUGAGACAGAGGUGAAACAGGACAUGGAAGUUACAGAAUUGAAAUCAACCUCUACAACUUCUUCUAGUUUUGCCCUGGGCUAAGAAGAAUAAAUUCAAUCCCUCUUCCAAAUGAUAGACUCUCAAGUUCUUAAAGUCAGUAAUCAUGGCCAACUUAAGUCUCCUCUUCUCUUCUGAAGAAGGAAAGUAAUUGGAUUACAUCAAGGGAAACGACAAAUUUAAGGAAUUCAGAGAAGCAGAGGAAGACCUGUAUGAACUGAUGCAGAGUGAAGAAAGAAGCAGAAGAACAAAAUCCACAAUGUCCCCAGCACCAUAAACAAGCCCAACACUGGAAGGCAGCCACUAUCUGACAGUGUCAUGACCGUGUCGGCCCAGGAGAAUAGAUCAUGGAACACAUGCUCCUUCUCUUAGGGAAAAGAUAGGGGAGGGAUGAAGAUGUAGGUCAUGCAUCUCCUGACAGAUAUGAUUACCAGGAUGUCAGGUUUUGUUUAAUUCUUUCUUUUCUGUUUCAAGGGAUGAUUCAGUGGGGGUAUGGUAACACAUGUUGGGAAAGAAUUGUAAUAGAAAAACAAAAAAAAAAACAUCAAUACAACUUUUAAAAGUAAAUUAACUCUUUAACUUGGGAAAUAUACUAUUUGAACCCCCUCCCCUUUUUUGUUGGUGCAGAGUUAUCAUGAACACUUAUGAAUUUCCAUUUUUGUCAUGGUCUACUGGGCUGUGAUCCUACACUAAGCACUGGACCCUGAAUUGCACAUCACCCACUGGUCACCGUCCUUUGCCUUUUGUUUUUUUAAAGACUACAUCUCCCCAUCUCACCUGGGCUAUAAGUGCAGUAGCCACAAGGGCACUUUGACCCUCUCUGCUUCUAACCAGGUUGGGUUCACUUUUCCUUAUUAGGCAAUGUGGCGGGCCCUCACCACCCCCACCCCCCAGAAACUCCUCUCUUCUCUUUUAAUUGUCUGUUCCCAAUCUGCCGUAAUUCAAGAAAUCAAAUUUGUUGUUACUGUGUGUAAAGUAGGAGCAAAUUGACUCUGGUCGACUGAGGACCUUCUUGCUUCUUAUGAAUAAAGUGUAUGAACUUCCAUUUUUCAGAUUAGUGCCUGUAGUUUGACUGCGGGACUUUUUUUGUUUACUAUCUGAA
Long non-coding RNA from Vombatus ursinus (common wombat), 3384 nucleotides. RefSeq lists it as uncharacterized. The transcript has 3 exons. The record is from RefSeq and is a predicted model, not a curated record. NCBI's taxonomy places the organism in Eukaryota, Metazoa, Chordata, Mammalia, Diprotodontia, Vombatidae.